AUGAUCCCAGCAGACAUUUUCACUGUGAAGGUGUUCACCCUCCUGUUGGUUGGAUUAUUAUGUGAUGGACAAAGGCCUGAGGCAACAACACACAGACUGACGGACGAAUCUUCAGCUCAGACGACCUCAGGUUCACCCUCUGGAGGGAAGGUCCAGACAGAGGAGGAUAACCACAGGAUGCUCCUACUCCAACUGCCACUACCCAUCAUCCUCUUCUCCCCUGGUCUGAUGAAGGUGAAGUCAAGGCCUUUCCGUUAGCGGAGGACAUCCUGACUGCAUGGAGCAGAGCAGCAGUAGAGACUCUGAGGUACGACAAACACUACUUGAAUCAUCGUGCUACACAUCUUUCCAACAUGUCUGCUGGCUGACCUCCAGAUGUUCAUGCAUAGAUGUUUUUUGGGAGACUGCUCCUCUUGAUGUAAGUGCUGUCUGUACGUUGCAUAAUCAUAUUCAAACCAAAACAUAUUAUUGCAUGCUUGGAAAGUAGAGCAUGUAAACAGAGGAAAAAAAGUCUGACUUCUGUGUCCAUGCCUCGACGCAGCACUGCUAAUCUGAAAAUGGGAACAACAACCACACGACAUCAAUAUCAACUUGAUUUGAAUAUUCUGUUCGACCGGUGGUGGAGUUAGUUGCUAAAUCUCUAUUUUUUAAAGUAUCACACUGUAUAUGUUUUAUAUGGGGAGGAAUUGGUUAACCUCGUGGAUUCUUUUCUAGAUUUUUAACAUUUUUGCUAAUGUGUUGUAAUUUUUCUUUGAUUUUUGCCUUGUUAAGAAAAUACAGCUCAGAUGAAAGUGUCUGCCUGCAGAAAACACUUUAAAAAGCUAAAGACCAUCUGACCCUGAAAGAGAAACCUUAACGCAGGAGACAGAGAGAAAAGACAGAAAUGCAUUUAUCGCAGACAUUUGACAUUUGAUUUUCUUUACUGUUGAAUGUUUCUGUUUGGGUUUCUGAUCAGAAUGCUGUAAUAUCUGUUAUAUCAAUAACAUCUACCUCAGUGUCUGCUCAUUAAUGACAGAAGCUUUAACCCCUGAAUGACCUUAGCGUCCCUCCAUCAUCACCUGGGUCGAGGUUACGAAUGCCUUUCUGAAAUGAUGCGGUGCAGUUAAAAGAACCCAGACACUAUAAACUGCCAUUGAAUAACUUAGAGAAGUCCUGAAAAACUAAAGAAACCAUCACCACAGUAAAUAUGAAGCCAAUAUUGGCCUUUCAAUGAAAUAUCAGAUGUCAUCCAGCCUGACAAAACAGCUUGAAGCCUGACAUGAUGAUUUUCUUUGCACAUUUUAUUAACUUAUUUGUGAAAUUGUUAAACGUAUGUGUGAGUGAAUGCGACUAUUUCUGAAUUAAUUAUUGAUUUAAAGGGCAAUAAUCUACUGCAGAGAGGUUUCCUGCCAUUCAACAGGUGGCCAGCCUUUCCUAAAGAGCUGCUGUGGCUGAGGUUUUAGUUGAAAUGAGAAGUUUGAUGACGGCUGAGAAAAAUUCAGUCUGGGGGUUGAUGUUUGAGCCUCGUGGAUUAAUUGUCUAAAAAUAGUUGGACUUUUUGGGAAAUUGUCCUUUUACUUGUCUUCGUGAAAAAGUGACGCAUGGACAGUUUCAUCAGUGUCCAGAGCAAAGAUAGGCCCAGGCUGUGUUCAGUCCAGCUCAGCACAAAGACUGGACAUAGUGGGAAACUUCUAGCCUUGGUUCAAUAAAUAUGCAGAAAUAUAUCUCCCAACAACCUAAUAGCUUCUGUAUUUUUGGUGUAAUAAAGUCCAUGUUUCAUUUAACCAAAUAUCCUGUAUCUUAAAGACAAACCAAGCUGGGAAACAGGCUGUAAACUCAGAGUUAGAUCACUCUAACUGUGGACUGGCCUCCUGCCUUUUUACACACACAUGCUUCAGGAGGCUUCCCUGUGCCAACAUGGUGGCCAUGCUCAUCUGUGUGUUUGUGUCUGUGGUUUCCACCUGCUUCAGUCUUCACACUGAGCUGGGCUAAACACCCGUUCAUGUUCUGGACGGACACAGCUGAACGUAUUGUUUUAUCUUUCAUCUGUUUCUUGUUGUCAUCAUAACGUUCUGGCUCUACUCUGUAAAAACACAAAUCCAGCAUCAACAGUUUGGUCUCGUUGUAAUUUUGCUUUGCUGAGACAGAAAAACAGCCGAGGGAGAUUAGUGUUUGACAGAGGCACUGAUGAGCUGUGAUGUUAAGGUGUCCUGCGUACUGUAUGUGCAAUAUUAAUGAUACAGCAUUUUCUUCCUGAAAGACUUGUCAGAUUUUAACCAUCACUUGAUAUUCACCAAAUGUAACAUCCAUCGUUGUGUUGAUGUUCAUCAUGUUCAUCAUGUUCAUCAUGUUCAUCAUGUUCAUCCUGCGGUUCAGUCCAGGCUUGGGUUUUCAUGCAAAAAUGGAAAAAGCAAUAGUGUGUGUGAGCUCCGUGCUCGGGGAACUUCAGAAAGCAUUUCUUUUCUUCUUUCUGUUUUUUAUUUACAGUUAUUACUGUUUAUGCCAUGUUUAUUUUGACAUUCUCCAAAUUUGAUCUAUUUUUGAUAAAAUAAAUCAUUUGAUGAUGAUUGAUGAGCUUCAAUCUGCAUGUGUUUCAGAUGACUGCACAUGCAGACGUGUCAUUUUCUGUUUCGUGUGUGAUUUUAUGUCAUAAACAUUUCCACAUGAUGGAUUUCAGUGGGUAUGAAUGUGUUUUUAUUUGUUUUAGCUUUGUCCUUCAGCAGAGAGGAGAGUCAGGAACCAGGACAGUGAAAUUAUGACCCAGUCCCAGUUAAUAUCAACAAACUCCAUGAAGGGACCAUCAGGCUGCUGAUGACCUGAAAAUCAGUGUUUGAGAACCAGAAGCCUCAUCAGCAGGUAGCGCUGAUGUGGGUUAGUGGGGCCCUGCUCCACCCCCCGGUCGGCUCAUUAGGCCCUUAUAGGUUUAGGCACAAAGAACUGGUGGUUUGGUUUCAGGAAAGAUGAUGGUUUUGGUUCAAAUGAGGACUUACCAAGGUGAAAACGUUUGUUUGAGACGUGACACUAAUGGCUCCUCCUCCUCCUGUCUGAAACUCUGGGGUUUUGUCGCCUCCUCCCUAAAACAUGGACGAUGUGGAAAUCUGUGUGUCAACAAACUGGAAGCUGUAAAAGUCAUUGGUACGAGCGCUCAGUGAAAAUCCAUUCAGACUGACACCUCAUGGGAAUGAUCUUUGUAAGGUAAUAUCUUCACAUUAUAAUCUUCAUACCCACUAACUGAAAGUUAGUGCACAGUGUCAGAAAACCUGUGAGAAUGAAUAACGUCCUGUGUGCUGCACAUAACAGCCACUCAGAGCAGAAACCCCCAGUUUGAAAAGUCAGAAUGAUCCAAAACAAACCCUGAAAAUAAUCCAUCUCAUUUUCAGGAAGUUCUACAGAUGCAAGAGAGAAAUUUCAGCUUCAUUACUUCAAUGUGCAUCAUGUUUUGUGAAUUUAUUUUGACCCUCAGUUCUGAAACCAAAUUUGUAUUCUGCACCUCAGAAGUCUGAUUAUACCUUAUUAUAUAUAUUAUUACCAUCAUUCCUAGGCAGCACCACACAUUCAUCAAUGAGCAAUAAAAAAUACAGCAUCGUCAGUUCAUCUGUGUGUUAACAGUGCCUUAAUGACAUUUCCUUUUAGUUACUAUCCCUGUCAAAUGCACCUGAAGUACAACAGAAGAAGAAGCUGUGUAUUUGUAUUAACACAGGGAUGCACGUAGAAAUGAUGUAUUGUAAAUUAAUGUAUUGAAUGUACAGUGAGUGUGUUUAGAGUGAGAAGAACUAAGAAAAAGUAAAAAGGUUUGUUCUGUUCUCCACAGAAGCUCAGAGCUGCUCCUGAGAAUUAUUCUCUCGUCUAUAAAUAAUUUGAUCGACACAUGAAAGUGAAAUCAAAGAAAAUAAAAAAAGCAAAUUGAACGUAAAUUUGAACUGAGUGGAACUAAAAUAACAAGAUUUAGUUUUAAUAAAGCUUUCUCAUUAUUGUGGAACACACUGAUCCUGCUGUUCUAGUGGUGAUUGAAAAGAUAAAGUGCAGUCAAAAUGAUGCAUCUUUUGUAAACUCACUUUGAAAAUGAACACGCUGUUGGGUCUGUCUGACUGCAGCUGACGUUUGAAAUGGAUUUCCUGGGCUGGUGUGAAAUAUUGAUGUGUUUUCAAUCAUUUCUGUGGUUUGAAUGUCAGUGAUCAAAAAUACAUUUGACAGAAAAAACAGUUUGGACUUUAGGUUAAACUCUUUAAACUAUACUGUCAGAGUGGAACAAGACUGAGACUGCAAAAAAGACAAAAUAAUAUCACAGCCCUUAGUGCGUGUUAGUGUCCACGUGUUAGCGGUCGGUCCUGUGCUCAUUCACCGAACUGUGUUUGUCUCAUGGUGUUUUCCUGCUUCGGCAAACGGCAGAUACAAAAAAACUCUGUCUGCAAAACCUCAGCGUGUGUCUCUGUGUAGAAAGUCUCAAAUAAUAGAGUUUAUUUUGUUAACUUGGAGUGUCUGUGCUUCACUGUGUGACAGGUAGAAACCUAAAGAAAAGUCUGAGGAUGUAUAUAUGUGUGGUUUGGGAUCAUACACUGAAUAUGCACAAAAGAGUCAUCCUGAAAACUAGUUGUGACUAAGUUUAAUGUGGCCUUUUCUUUCUCUUUAAUGUACUGCAAUGUUGUAAAUGAUUUGUAUAUGACAUCAUGUAUAUUAAAG
This 4659-nucleotide long non-coding RNA is filed under the name Mastacembelus armatus (zig-zag eel). Its description in RNAcentral is "lncRNA (ENSMAMG00000027838.1)". The record is from RNAcentral. Lineage: Eukaryota; Metazoa; Chordata; Actinopteri; Synbranchiformes; Mastacembelidae.